GACGAACGCUGGCGGCGUGCUUAACACAUGCAAGUCGAACGGUAAGGCCCUUCGGGGUACACGAGUGGCGAACGAGUGAGUAACACGUGGGUGAUCUGCCCUGCACUUCGGGAUAAGCCUGGAAAACUGGGUCUAAUACCGGAUAGGACCACUGCCUGCAUGGGUGGGGGUGGAAAGCUUUUGCGGUGUGGGAUGGGCCCGCGGCCUAUCAGCUUGUUGGGGGGGUGAUGGCCAACCAGGGCGACGACGGGUAGCCGGCCUGAGAGGGUGACCGGCCACACUGGGACUGAGAUACGGCCAAGACUCCUACGGGAGGCAGCAGUGGGGAAUAUUGCACAAUGGGCGCAAGCCUGAUGCAGCGACGCCGCGUGAGGGAUGACGGCCUUCGGGUUGUAAACCUCUUUCAGCACCGACGAAGCGCAAGUGACGGUAGGUGCAGAAGAAGGACCGGCCAACUACGUGCCAGCAGCCGCCGUAA
RNAcentral lists this ribosomal RNA (478 nucleotides) under uncultured bacterium. Its description in RNAcentral is "partial 16S ribosomal RNA". It matches the Rfam family "Bacterial small subunit ribosomal RNA", at positions 28 to 523 of the family's 1533-position model. The record is from RNAcentral.